GCAACACCAACACCAUGUUAUUGGUCAUAUCAGUUCAUUGUGAUGGCAUAUGGCUUUCGAGCCAAAAGGUUGCCAUUGACAUUAUUAGAUCCAUGCAACUACAUAGACCAUGUUGGUGCUCGUCCAAAAAAAAAAAAAAUGUUGAUGGAUCACGACAGUACUACCGUUACUCCAUCGAUCGAUCCUAUUCCUGCAUGAAUUAAUAUAUGUAACUGCCUCGAUCAAUUAAUCUC
Rosa chinensis is the source of this 233-nucleotide long non-coding RNA. RefSeq lists it as uncharacterized. NCBI's taxonomy places the organism in Eukaryota, Viridiplantae, Streptophyta, Magnoliopsida, Rosales, Rosaceae. The transcript is spliced from 2 exons. The record is from RefSeq and is a predicted model, not a curated record.